GACGAACGCUGGCGGCGUGCUUAACACAUGCAAGUCGAACGGAAAGGCCCUGCUUUUGUGGGGUGCUCGAGUGGCGAACGGGUGAGUAACACGUGAGUAACCUGCCCUUGACUUUGGGAUAACUUCAGGAAACUGGGGCUAAUACCGGAUAGGAGCUCCUGCUGCAUGGUGGGGGUUGGAAAGUUUCGGCGGUUGGGGAUGGACUCGCGGCUUAUCAGCUUGUUGGUGGGGUAGUGGCUUACCAAGGCCUUGACGGGUAGCCGGCCUGAGAGGGUGACCGGCCACAUUGGGACUGAGAUACGGCCCAGACUCCUACGGGAGGCAGCAGUGGGGAAUAUUGCACAAUGGGCGGAAGCCUGAUGCAGCAACGCCGCGUGCGGGAUGACGGCCUUCGGGUUAUAAACCGCUUUCGCCUGUGACGAAGCGUGAGUGACGGUAAUGGGUAAAGAAGCACCGGCUAACUACGUG
This 468-nucleotide ribosomal RNA is filed under the name uncultured bacterium. Its description in RNAcentral is "partial 16S ribosomal RNA". It matches the Rfam family "Bacterial small subunit ribosomal RNA", at positions 28 to 507 of the family's 1533-position model. The record is from RNAcentral.